Ctenopharyngodon idella (grass carp) is the source of this 2085-nucleotide long non-coding RNA. RefSeq lists it as uncharacterized. The record is from RefSeq and is a predicted model, not a curated record. The transcript has 3 exons. Lineage: Eukaryota; Metazoa; Chordata; Actinopteri; Cypriniformes; Xenocyprididae.
GUUUUGAUUUGACGGUGUCUUUAGCUUUUCAUCAGAGCCCUUUUAUAAAACUUUUUCUGAAACUCAAACAGCAACAUCAGCACAGAUUUCGGAGUUGCGUCGAUGUUUCCUCUUUCCUGCUCAUCACAAGAUUCAGAUGGAGUGGAGAAAGAAAAUCACACAUCCAGAAAACUGCUGGAGCCUCAGAAAUCACAGAGCAGCAGAAAACAAGAAGACAGAGAGAAAAAUGGAGACACAAACCAGUGGAUCACAAGAGAAAAGAGGACAGAGACUUGUUAGAUGUGAGAGUAUGGAGAGAGUAAGGCCAAGCUUGUCAUGUGAUCCAGAUGAUCCUGUAAAUAUUCAUUCUGAUGUCAAAACUGAGGAGAGAUUCUCUCAUCAAAACCCUUCAUCAGGUUUUCAAGAUCACACAACAUCAGAUACAAGCAGCUGAAGACUAGAACAUCAUCAUCAUCAUCACAGACUACACCCAUCUCCUGCAUUCUGGAAGCUUUUACAAACUAAUGACCAAAAAAAAAAAAAAAAACUACUAAAACAGUUUUCACUACACCAUUUUCAGCUAAAAACAUAAAACUUUUUAAUGCGUUUUGGGUGCCUGAAAAUGCAAACUUUUGAAAACGAGUUUCAGAGUGUAAAUUUUUGAAAAGAAUAUCGUUAUCGCCUCAGUGUCAACUACAAAAACAUGAAUAUGUGAAAACGUUGACGUCAUGUACAUGUGUAUUGCGCGUUCAGUCUAUACGCGAGUAGUUUUCUUUACAAAGUGACAUUGCCAUCUACUGGCCUGGCAGCAGAAUACAGCGAUUUUAGUUGUUUCCGUGGAUUGUUUUGAUAAUGUUGUCUGUUAUAUGAAAAACGCAAAGGAAAAACGUUUAAUGGACAGUUUCUUCCUCAGAUCAGUGUCUUCAUCCUGCUCAGAUGCUGCACUUUACUGACACACCAGUGUUUGAUAGUGAACACUUGAACAUGCUUUAUAUAAGAUAGAGAAACACUCUGAACAGACGGCUGGUCCACUGUAGAGAAACACACAUUUAUACCUUUAUGUCUUCAGUUCACUGGAGAACUAACUGUUUUUAUGCGUUUCUAGUCAUGAAGUGAGCAAGAUAUAUAUAUAUGCGACACCUCUCAGCCUAUCGUGUCACCGUUCAAAACUCCUCCCUGUGUACCACCAAUUCGUACCGCCUGUCCCGCCAGUUAGCAUUAGCCAUUAUGCUUUUUUGGCUAAAGGUUGCAGGCUUGCCUUCCAGUGGCUUUGACAUUACGGCACAUUUGCUUCAACUGCUUCAGUGUUUCACAAAGGCUCGAUCUGCCCAUCACUAUUCAUAAUACUGAUAAUCACCAUAGUUCAAGAGCUGGGCAGAGGGAAAUCUGCUGGGCUGAUGAAAAACCAGGUGAGCUUCUCCAAGCUGGAAUUAAACCCCUUUCCCGCCAUCUCCAUCAACUCACUGUGACUCAAACAUCAUCAGCACCCUGUUGAGAGCAGCGCCCUCUGGUGGAGAUCAAGAACACUCCAACUGCGGGAUGUAACAAUAGGACAAAUUAAAUAGAAUUAGAUAUUUUUCAGAAUUACUUUUUACAGUUAAUUGCACUAUAAUGAAUAUGUACUACCAAGAAUUACACUUCUUGAUAUCCUUCCCCUUUGUGUGAUCAGUGUCGAUCUCAUCUGAACAUGUUUCAGGUCAAUUCCAAAUCAAGCAGCUUAUAAUCAAUGCGGCGAAUUAGUGUGGGUUUUUAUUUCAAGAACUUGAAUAUGAAGUGAAAUCCGUGUGAAUUCACUAAAUCCUGGAUUACACAAUUAAUUAGCUCCUGAGCAAUGUGAUAAAGCUGCGGAGGCAAAACUCUGAUGCUUUUUGGGUAACAGCCACUAGGUGGCGCUUUGGUAGUCAUAUAUACUAGCUUAUUUAAUUUUUAUUAAUUUGUUCAUUUAAAUAUCAUUUUGUUGUAAUAUUGUUAAUUGUUUAUUUCUUUGAGUGUGUGCUCUCUAUAGGUGAGAGAAAAAAUGUUUAAAGGAUAUGCCACCCCUGACAGGAGGGGGCGCUGGUGCAAGAGCAUACAGUUUUUUGACCGUACACAUGGAGCAAACCUGAA